Non-coding RNA from Callorhinus ursinus (northern fur seal), 1393 nucleotides. The record is from RefSeq and is a predicted model, not a curated record. NCBI's taxonomy places the organism in Eukaryota, Metazoa, Chordata, Mammalia, Carnivora, Otariidae.
GACUUUAUCAAAAACAUGAUUGCAGGCACAUCUCAGGCUGACUGUGCUGUCCUGAUUGUUGCAUGCUGCUGUUGGUGAAUUUGAAGCAGGUGUCUCCAAGAAUGGGCAGGCCCAUGAGCAAGCCCUUCUGGCUUACGCACUGGGUGUAAAACAACUAAUUGUUGGUGUUAACAAAAUGGAUUCCACUGAGCCACCCUACAGCCAGAAGAGAUAGGAGGAAAUUGUUAAGGAAGUCAGCACCUACAUUAAGAAAAUUGGCUACAGCCCUGACACAGAAUCAUUUGUGCCAAUUUCUAGUUGGAAUGGUGACAACAUGCUGGAGCCAAGUGCUAACAUGCCUCGGUUCAAGGGAUGGAAAGUCACCCGUAAAGGUGGGAAUGCUGGUGGAACCACACUGCCUGAAGCUCUGGAUGGCAUUUCUGCCACCAGCUCAUCCAACUGACAGGCCCUUGUGUUUGCCUCUCCAGGAUGUCUACAAAAUUGGUGGUAUUGGUACUGUCCCUGUGGCCUGAGUGGAGACUGGUGUUCUUAAACCUGGCAUGGUGGUCACCUUUGCUCUAGUCAAUGUUAAAACUGAAGUCUGUUGAAAUGCACCGUGAAACUUUGAGUGAGGCUCUUCCUGCAGACAAUGUGGGCUUCAGUGUCAAGAAUGACGUAUCUGCCAAAGAUGUUCAUCGUGGCAAUGUGCCUGGUGACAGCAAAAAUGACCCACCCAUGGAAGCAGCUGGCUUCACAGCUCAGGUGAUUAUCCUGAACCAUCCAGGCCAAAUCAGUGUUGGAUAUGCACCUGUGCUGGAUUGUGACCCAGCUCACAUUGCUUGCAGGUUUGCUGAGCUGAAGGAGAAGAUAGAUCAUUAUUCUGGAAAAAAGCUGGAAGAUGGUCCCAAGUUCUUGAAAUCUGGUGAUGCUGCCAUUGUUGAUAUGGUUCCUGACAAGCCUAUGCGUGUUAAGAGCUUCUCUGACUAUCCUCCUGUGGCCCGUUUUACUGUUGGUGACAUGAGACAGACAGUUGCUGUGGGCGUCAUCAAAGCAGUGGAUAAGAAGGCUGCUGGAGCUGGCCAGGUCACCAAGUCUGCCCAGAAAGCUCAGAGGCUAAAUGAAUAUUAACCCCAAUACCUGCCACCCCAGUCUUCAUCAGUGGUGGAAGAAAGGUCUCAGGACUGUUUGUGUCAAAUGGCCAAUUAAGUUUAAUAGUAAAAGACUGGUUAAAGAUAACAAUGCAUGGCAAAACCUUCGGAAGGAAAGGAGAAUGUUUUGUGGACCAUUUGUUUUUUUGUGUGUAUGUGUGGCAGUUUCAAGUUAUUAAUUUUUAAAAUCAGUACUUUUUAAUGGACACAACUUGACCAAAAAUCUGUCACAGAAUUUUGAGACCCAUUAAAACAAAAGUUUAAUG